ACCAUUAGGGGACACAUGUCACCCAAUGGUGCAAGCCAACUAAGCAUCCACAUAGGCAAUGAGAUGGCAAAACUCAAACAGACAUGUGGCAUAGCUCUAAGGGGCUGAUUGAAUUUGGCUUCUCACAUACGCUUGGUGUAUACUCUCUCUCUCUCAUUAUCUCAAAAUCUAUCAAACGGCAAUUCCUCUCCUCUGAAACCCUAAUCGGCGAUUCAUCGCCUCCUGACCCUUUCGGUGAAAUCAUCUUCCUCAUCUAAAUCAAUUUCUUUACCCUAAUCUUACACCAUAUGCUUGAAAACACAAAACCCUAACUCUAACUCUCUCUGGUGAACAAGAAUCCUCUGCGUCUCUCUCUCAGUACCAUCGGCGACAACCUUCAAUCGGAUCUUUCAAUCAUCAUUCUAUCGAAAUUGACGGAUAAUCCAUUGAGUUUAAGGGUGUUCAAGUUAAAUGGCUCUUUAGCGGUGAUAUGAGUAUAUGCGAACAUUGCUUCUUCUUGUCUCCAAUGGUUGUUGAAAGCAGCAUCGACAUUCUCGCUGCUGCAGUGAAAAAGUUACCGUCUGGAAAGGAUGAUACGAGCUUGAUUUACGCGUUCUAUUCGGUGCACGAGACCAAGAAGAAUUCACACGCGAGAUUUGAUCGGCUUGAAUGGUUUGAAGAACGGCUUUCAGAACCCUCCGUUCGAUGGGAAUGGUGAUCGUUGUUUACCGAAGGAAAACUCAUGGACUGGAGUUACAUGCUCUAAUGGAUCUAAUAUUCGCGUGACAAGAUUAAACCUUACAGGCAUGGACCUUUCGGGAUCUCUGUCGUCCAACAUUGCGAAUUUGACUGCAUUGUGUGGCCUGUAUGACACAUUAUUUACUUCUAAACCUACUUGCUUAUAUAAUAUUAGUUUUAUAUGCAAAAUGUUUAAAUUUUAUAGAAUUAGAAGUUUUAUAGACUGUUUGGUGGACUUGACAGAUGGGUUGGUAACAAUAACAUGUGAGUCUAGGUAUAUGUGGCAGUGAGAGAGCUUUUCAGUUGUAUUCAAUAGUUAGUGCUCUCGAACCCUAUUAAGUAAUAACCCUGAUAUACAUCACUUUUUUACAACAUCUUCGUGAUCUCUGUUGUGGUUGGAAUCAACUGACUCAGGUAUGGUUUACUUUUUUUUUAUAUUUUAUUUGAAAUAAUGUGUAAUUGUGGUGAACAAUGAGUAUGCUUCUGAAUUUCAUUCGUGACGAUAUGAUUCACUGAUUUGCUUUCAAAUGAUUUGAAUUGCACUUAAAGUACUACAUCUAUGCUCCGAAGUCCGGAAAGCAGAGCAAUUUGCUUAAAUCUAUGGGAUACUUAGCGUUAACGGGCCAGUUGUAUACAUCAAGAAACAAUCAAAGAUCUCAUGGACAAGGGAAGUUAAUUUUGCUUCUCAUUAAAAUAAAUGUUCUAUGCUCCAAAUUUUUAUUGUUUGUCACAUGUUUAAAUAUUUUAUACGUUGUCGAUGCAAAGUUUUACUAUUCUUACAAGUAUUUAGUUAAAUAUUGUGGUAUAAUUAACAAAAGUAUACAGAUUCCCAAGAGUCUAUGGUUUUAAUGGACUAAGAUUGGCUUAAAUUUGAGAGAUAUGUUUGGCUGAAUUCUUAUGUUACUUCUAAGCAUUUUUAGGAAAAAAGAGUUUCGAAUAGAAUUGUUUUUUUAGUUAAUGCACCACUAUAGUAAUAACAAUAAUACAUAAAUAUGAAAUUUUCGGUUCAUGCAGGAUGUUGCAGUCAGGUUAUUUGUAUAUAAAAAGUUUUCAGAUGAUGUGAUCGUAUCUUUUAAAAUGGAGGCAAUUUUUAUUUUUAUUUUUUUACAAUUUUAGAGAAGAUGUAAACUAACAAGUCAACUGACAUGUAAGUCAUGUGUUUUGAUAUUCAUCAGGUUAUCUUUAAUGAAAAAGGCUUCGACAUCCUAAUAUUUUCCUAUUCAUGGGGGCUGUAACUUCAACACCUCAAUAUCUAUGCAUUGUUACCGAGAGUACCUUCCCGGAACCCAUAAGAUAUCUGUGGGCCCAAACUGGAUCUGAGUAUGUCAUUGAAUCCACCGAAGUGUUUGCCGGCAGAUCGAUGUUUGUUAAUAUGGAAAGAAUGGCAAUGACGGAGCAUUCUACAAUCUGCAGCCACUGAGGAACCUAAGGUUGAUAUGUUCGAAGAUCCUUUGGUGUACGAUUAGAAGCUAGAAAGUUGCUACAGUUUGGUGCUCCACUCCACUUAUUUUAAGGCUCAAUGUCUUGAAUAUGGGACCACUGGAUGGGUUGUACCUUGACUAAUAUUUGACCCGUUUAUUUGUUCAGCUAAGUAACCUCUCCAAAUCGGCAUCUGCAGUCACAUUCUUCACCGCCCUCCUUUGCCGUUGCUUCAUAUCAGAGUUUCUGCAAAAAGGUCCUGUUUCCAUGGUUUGGGAGACAUCAAAAGUCUUAAAUGGGCUUUCUUGAUGAAGUGGAUAUUUAAGCCCAAUCCGUGGUAGCUAUAGGCAACCAUCAUCCGCGCUAUUCAUGGCGAAUGUACAAACAAUUGUGGAGUUCCAUUAAAAAGUAAUUCUUCUGGAUGCUAUAAAUAAUAUUUUCGGCCGAAAAGGAAUUGGUAAAAACUGGAAUCGUUAAUCUGGAUAAGAUGGGGUUCGAAAAGAGACACAUAUCAAAAGAAUUUUUCGGUGGCUUUGUUUAGCGACAACAUGGCGGGUCAAACUAUGUCCAGAGUGGAAGUGGAUCUGCAUAGGUGGAAUGCCCCUGCAAAGUUUUAUAUUUUGGCUGGAAACUGUUAUUAGGGUGCAUCCCAUCCAAAAAGGCGCCAACAACUAGAGGCCUUAAUAUAAAACGCUAAGAUUUACGGCUAUGGAAACGAAUCAGUUAAUCACAUUACUAUGGAGUGUGUUUUGGUUAAAGCCGUAUGGUGGCAUGUGUGUGGGUGUGGAUUACGCUCUUUUAAUGGAGGGAUCCUUUAACGAAGUGCUGGAGGUUUUACACAACACCAAAGGGUCUGACGUUUGGAAGAAAACUAUGGAGGUAGUGCUUUUAUGUUGGUACUCUUAGCAACGUGUUGGCCCUGUGAUCUAUUUUUAUAUAUAAAAUGGUUUUCGUUCCAAAAAAAAUGUGCUAAUUUUGUUUUGAAAUUAGUGCUUACCGCUUAUAUUUCUAAAUGUCACCGUAAGUUUCUUUCCAAGUUCCUAGAUCCCCGUACAACUUUACAAGGUAGGUUAAUAGAGUAGGUUAUUUUGAAGACAGCAAAUUUGUUUAUUGAAAGAAGUUAUAAAAUUGUAGUUGAGUA
Helianthus annuus (common sunflower) is the source of this 3277-nucleotide long non-coding RNA. RefSeq lists it as uncharacterized. The transcript has 10 exons. The record is from RefSeq and is a predicted model, not a curated record. NCBI's taxonomy places the organism in Eukaryota, Viridiplantae, Streptophyta, Magnoliopsida, Asterales, Asteraceae.